CGGCUGGCCACCUUCAGGCCUUCUGAUUCUCUCCCUCUGCCCUCCCAGACGUUCGCCUCUUCGCUCUCAUUCUUCCUCAGCCCAGAGCCCCAACCGGACCGGCCACGACAGCCUGCCUCCUCCUGAUACAGGACAGGUGGCUCUCCAGCCAGCUGGGUCUCUCUCACCUCCUCUCUGGUGUUCGGGGAGCGGCAGCAGACAAGUGGUACCAGUAGGUUUGAGGUGCUAUUUCUGCCAAGCCAAGCCUGGCUUCUGAGGAGUCACUUCUGUUCCUGCUUGGAGACAAGGCCACCUAACAGAGACUCUGGUUCGUGAGGUUCCCUGUCUGAACUAUUGCCAUAAGGGUGUCACGGAAAAGCGAUGUCGUGAAGAAUAAGCACGCUUAUUGAAGUUGUGUUUUAAAUAAAGGUGACCA
Otolemur garnettii (small-eared galago) is the source of this 415-nucleotide long non-coding RNA. RefSeq lists it as uncharacterized. The transcript is spliced from 3 exons. The record is from RefSeq and is a predicted model, not a curated record. NCBI's taxonomy places the organism in Eukaryota, Metazoa, Chordata, Mammalia, Primates, Galagidae.